RNAcentral lists this ribosomal RNA (403 nucleotides) under uncultured Corynebacterium sp. Its description in RNAcentral is "bacterial SSU rRNA". It matches the Rfam family "Bacterial small subunit ribosomal RNA", at positions 77 to 497 of the family's 1533-position model. The record is from RNAcentral. Lineage: Bacteria; Bacillati; Actinomycetota; Actinomycetes; Mycobacteriales; Corynebacteriaceae.
UCUUCGGAGGUACUCGAGUGGCGAACGGGUGAGUAACACGUGGGUGAUCUGCCCUGCACUCUGGGAUAAGCCUGGGAAACUGGGUCUAAUACCGGAUAGGACCAUGCUUUAGUGUGUGUGGUGGAAAGUUUUUUCGGUGUAGGAUGAGCCCGCGGCCUAUCAGCUUGUUGGUGGGGUAAUGGCCUACCAAGGCGGCGACGGGUAGCCGGACUGAGAGGUUGGUCGGCCACAUUGGGACUGAGAUACGGCCCAGACUCCUACGGGAGGCAGCAGUGGGGAAUAUUGCACAAUGGGCGCAAGCCUGAUGCAGCGACGCCGCGUGGGGGAUGACGGCCUUCGGGUUGUAAACUCCUUUCGCCAGGGACGAAGCGUUUUGUGACGGUACCGGAGAAGAAGCACCGGC